AAAACUUUCAACAACGGAUCUCUUGGGUUCCGGCAUCGAUGAAGAAACGCAGCGAAAUGCGAUACGUAAUGGUGAAUUGCAGAAUUCAGUGAAUCAUCGAGUCUUUGAACGCACAUUGCGCCCUCUGGUAUUCCGGANGGCAUGCCUGUCCGAGCGUCAUUG
Molecule: ribosomal RNA, 162 nt
Filed under: Penicillium raistrickii
Lineage: Eukaryota; Fungi; Ascomycota; Eurotiomycetes; Eurotiales; Aspergillaceae
Description: 5.8S ribosomal RNA
Rfam family: 5.8S ribosomal RNA
About the family: 5.8S ribosomal RNA (5.8S rRNA) is a component of the large subunit of the eukaryotic ribosome. It is transcribed by RNA polymerase I as part of the 45S precursor that also contains 18S and 28S rRNA.
Source: RNAcentral